UGGGGAAUUUUGGACAAUGGGCGCAAGCCUGAUCCAGCAAUACCGCGUGCAGGAAGAAGGCCUUCGGGUUGUAAACUGCUUUUGUGUGGAACGAAAAGAUUUGGGUUAAUACCCUAGAUUGAUGACGGUACCACAAGAAUAAGCACCGGCUAACUACGUGCCAGCAGCCGCGGUAAUACGUAGGGUGCGAGCGUUAAUCGGAAUUACUGGGCGUAAAGCGUGCGCAGGCGGUUGUGUAAGACAGAUGUGAAAUCCCCGAGCUUAACUUGGGAACUGCAUUUGUGACUGCACGGCUAGAGUGCGGCAGAGGGGGAUGGAAUUCCGCGUGUAGCAGUGAAAUGCGUAGAUAUGCGGAAGAACACCGAUGGCGAAGGCAAUCCCCUGGGCCUGCACUGACGCU
RNAcentral lists this ribosomal RNA (400 nucleotides) under uncultured bacterium. RNAcentral describes it as "bacterial SSU rRNA". It matches the Rfam family "Bacterial small subunit ribosomal RNA", at positions 355 to 747 of the family's 1533-position model. The record is from RNAcentral.